GCCUUCGUGGUGUAAUGGUCAGCACGCUCGUCGAGAGGUCCGAGGUUCGAGUCCCGGCGAGAGCA
Molecule: transfer RNA, 65 nt
Filed under: Stegodyphus mimosarum
Lineage: Eukaryota; Metazoa; Arthropoda; Arachnida; Araneae; Eresidae
Rfam family: tRNA
About the family: Transfer RNA (tRNA) molecules are approximately 80 nucleotides in length.
Source: Rfam by way of RNAcentral